RNAcentral lists this ribosomal RNA (465 nucleotides) under Vreelandella stevensii. RNAcentral describes it as "partial 16S ribosomal RNA". It matches the Rfam family "Bacterial small subunit ribosomal RNA", at positions 338 to 795 of the family's 1533-position model. The record is from RNAcentral. Lineage: Bacteria; Pseudomonadati; Pseudomonadota; Gammaproteobacteria; Oceanospirillales; Halomonadaceae.
CCUACGGGUGGCAGCAGUGGGGAAUAUUGGACAAUGGGCGAAAGCCUGAUCCAGCCAUGCCGCGUGUGUGAAGAAGGCCUUCGGGUUGUAAAGCACUUUCAGUGGGGAAGAAAGCCUUGGGGCUAAUACCCUCGAGGAAGGACAUCACCCACAGAAGAAGCAUCGGCUAACUCCGUGCCAGCAGCCGCGGUAAUACGGAGGGUGCGAGCGUUAAUCGGAAUUACUGGGCGUAAAGCGCGCGUAGGCGGUCUGAUAAGCCGGUUGUGAAAGCCCCGGGCUCAACCUGGGAACGGCAUCCGGAACUGUCAGGCUAGAGUGCAGGAGAGGAAGGUAGAAUUCCCGGUGUAGCGGUGAAAUGCGUAGAGAUCGGGAGGAAUACCAGUGGCGAAGGCGGCCUUCUGGACUGACACUGACGCUGAGGUGCGAAAGCGUGGGUAGCAAACAGGAUUAGAUACCCCAGUAGUC